This 427-nucleotide ribosomal RNA is filed under the name uncultured bacterium. Its description in RNAcentral is "partial 16S ribosomal RNA". It matches the Rfam family "Bacterial small subunit ribosomal RNA", at positions 354 to 796 of the family's 1533-position model. The record is from RNAcentral.
GUGGGGAAUAUUGGGCAAUGGGCGCAAGCCUGACCCAGCAACGCCGCGUGAGGGAAGAAGGCUUUCGGGUUGUAAACCUCUGUCCUUGGUGACGAAACAAAUGACGGUAGCCAAGGAGGAAGCCCCGGCUAACUACGUGCCAGCAGCCGCGGUAAUACGUAGGGGGCGAGCGUUGUCCGGAAUUACUGGGCGUAAAGGGUGCGUAGGUGGCCUUUAAGUUGGAUGUGAAAUACCCGGGCUUAACUUGGGGGGUGCAUCUAAUACUGGAGGGCUAGAGUGCAGGAGAGGAAAGCGGAAUUCCUAGUGUAGCGGUGAAAUGCGUAGAUAUUAGGAGGAACACCAGUGGCGAAGGCGGCUUUCUGGACUGUAACUGACACUGAGGCACGAAAGCGUGGGGAGCAAACAGGAUUAGAAACCCCAGUAGUCC